This 1578-nucleotide ribosomal RNA is filed under the name Triticum aestivum (bread wheat). RNAcentral describes it as "partial small subunit ribosomal RNA". The record is from RNAcentral. Lineage: Eukaryota; Viridiplantae; Streptophyta; Magnoliopsida; Poales; Poaceae.
AUGGGGAAUGUUGAGAAGCACUUGGGAAAUUCAACGCCAACAAACUUGUUGCAUUAUCGGUUGAGUGAUAGGUGGAGGAGUCCUAGGGGAACGGUGCUCCGUAUUGACGGAUUAGCAAUGGUGGCAAUCGGCUGCUCCUUCUUCCUUGCUGCCUUUGGGUCAUGUUGCCGCAGAUCCAGCCGUUGGAUUAUCCAAAAGGGCUUCUUGGCUGCACAAGCGUUAUCUUUGUCCCUUGGGACUUACAGCAUUGGCCUAAUGCAAUCUUCGCCGGUGAAGAGCGAGAUGUAUCCUAUAUGGGAUGUAUCCUUACUCGCAAUCUUUGGUUGCGUCGACCCAAUCACCACCUACAUCGGCCUUGAAUACAAGGGCCCACUCUUGAAGAUGAUAUUUCAGCUUUGCCUCUACUAUGAAUAUGUCAUAUUGAUGAGUGUCUCAACCAUCUCCGGUGUUGUCAGUAAAUUAGCCAUUGGCGUGUUGUCUACCAUCACCUUGGUCAAGGGCUUUCAUAUGUCAUUGGCACUUGUCCUACCAAGCAGAACGCGGGACGACAUAGGAAGGUUUCGUUCUGCAGAACGAGGUGCUUUGGCAGGUGAGGGUGAGGAACUUCUAGUCCAUUUACCAGUUUCCAAAUCAUUCAAAAGAGGGGCCUUUAUAGGGGAAACAUUUAUGACAACUAGCAUAGCUGACAUACUUUCGAGCUGCAAGGAAAUGUUGGGCAUUGAAGAUGAAUUUGCACGGAUUGGUCGGGCCAUCGACUUUAAGAAGACCUUCAAAGCGAUUGAGAUUGAGUUGGCUUUUCUGUAUGAGGUCAUCUUCACCAGCAAUAAGUUCCUUCACUACGAUGAAGCAAAAAAGUCUAGCUUCUGGGCACUCGCUUCAUUCCUCCGGAAAUGUUUUGUUCGGGGGCGAAUCUACGUGCAUCGCUGUGGGGGCGAAUGCCCCCACUCGUUUUUUUGGCCCACUUAUGUUAGGCCCAGGAUACUCAGCGUUGCCCCCACUCAGGCCAAGAUAUUUGCCCCCACUGCUUUAUUUUGUGUUGUAUUUUUAAAGCCCGUAAACCUAGUCUUCACGAGAGCCCCCACGCCGCCACCUGCGGCUCUACUGCUCUGUAGAUACACGAUUAUACGACGCCCUCCACCGAUAGCGAUCAGCCGAUCAUCUGCUAUCUGCGAACUGCACACACCGGCCGGCCGGCUUGCCAUCCCUAAGGAAAAAGCUCUACUGAUCAAUAUCAAGGAAGGAUGUCCCGGGAUGAUGAGCCCGACAAGCCAUUCCGGCCUCUCGCAACCAAACGUGCCCUGGACUCGCACCGAUGAAUUGCGAUUCCCUCCAACGGCAUGUGUGCGAAUACGUGAACGAAGAGCAACGCAUAGACAGGAUGCCUCUGUCGGCAGGCAAAAGCAGGCAGCCCCCCAAAGCAAAGCUGCACCCAGAGGGGGAGAGCGUGUAGGCCUUCCUUCUCGAGGAGGCGAGGAGCAGGAAGAAGCCUCGCCGAUUGGGAGGAUCAACUCGUCCACAAGGCGGGAACAUGGUAUGCAACAAUUCACCAAAACAAAAACUAUAAUUUAUUACUUGUAG